RNAcentral lists this unclassified non-coding RNA (259 nucleotides) under Hevea brasiliensis (rubber tree). Lineage: Eukaryota; Viridiplantae; Streptophyta; Magnoliopsida; Malpighiales; Euphorbiaceae. The record is from RNAcentral.
UCACGAGAAUCCAUGAGGGGACAAUUUGCAAAAAUUGUUUAUGUUUUUUUUAACUGUCUUGACAGUGAAAUAAAUUGCUUUCUUUGUUGAAAACUAAUACGACUUGUCACAAUUCAAACUGUGGCAGUCAUUGAGCAAAAAGUUAACCAAUUUCAAAGAUUGUUCGCACUUUUUCAACAUUUCAGGCUGUGGCUACGUUCUUUAUUUCCUAAUAAUCAUAUUAUGCUGGAAAUUACAGGAUUACGGGUCAUAAGAGCUG